GAUGAACGCUGGCGGCGUGCCUAAUACAUGCAAGUCGAGCGAACGGACGAGAGGCUUGCUUCUCUGAUGUUAGCGGCGGACGGGUGAGUAACACGUGGAUAACCUACCUAUAAGACUGGGAUAACUUCGGGAAACCGGAGCUAAUACCGGAUAAUAUUUUGAACCGCAUGGUUCAAAGGUGAAAGACGGUCUUGCUGUCACUUAUAGAUGGAUCCGCGCUGCAUUAGCUAGUUGGUAAGGUAACGGCUUACCAAGGCAACGAUGCAUAGCUGACCUGAGAGGGUGAUCGGCCACACUGGAACUGAGACACGGUCCAGACUCCUACGGGAGGCAGCAGUAGGGAAUCUUCCGCAAUGGGCGAAAGCCUGACGGAGCAACGCCGCGUGAGUGAUGAAGGUCUUCGGAUCGUAAAACUCUGUUAUUAGGGAAGAACAUAUGUGUAAGUAACUGUGCACAUCUUGACGGUACCUAAUCAGAAAGCCACGGCUAACUACGUG
Molecule: ribosomal RNA, 497 nt
Filed under: uncultured bacterium
Lineage: Bacteria
Description: partial 16S ribosomal RNA
Rfam family: Bacterial small subunit ribosomal RNA
Source: RNAcentral